RNAcentral lists this ribosomal RNA (934 nucleotides) under Bacillus sp. (in: firmicutes). Its description in RNAcentral is "bacterial SSU rRNA". It matches the Rfam family "Bacterial small subunit ribosomal RNA", at positions 37 to 952 of the family's 1533-position model. The record is from RNAcentral. Lineage: Bacteria; Bacillati; Bacillota; Bacilli; Caryophanales; Bacillaceae.
GUGCGGUGCGGCUGCUAUACAUGCAGUCGAGCGGACAGAAGGGAGCUUGCUCCCGGAUGUUAGCGGCGGACGGGUGAGUAACACGUGGGUAACCUGCCUGUAAGACUGGGAUAACUCCGGGAAACCGGAGCUAAUACCGGAUAGUUCCUUGAACCGCAUGGUUCAAGGAUGAAAGACGGUUUCGGCUGUCACUUACAGAUGGACCCGCGGCGCAUUAGCUAGUUGGUGGGGUAAUGGCUCACCAAGGCGACGAUGCGUAGCCGACCUGAGAGGGUGAUCGGCCACACUGGGACUGAGACACGGCCCAGACUCCUACGGGAGGCAGCAGUAGGGAAUCUUCCGCAAUGGACGAAAGUCUGACGGAGCAACGCCGCGUGAGUGAUGAAGGUUUUCGGAUCGUAAAGCUCUGUUGUUAGGGAAGAACAAGUGCGAGAGUAACUGCUCGCACCUUGACGGUACCUAACCAGAAAGCCACGGCUAACUACGUGCCAGCAGCCGCGGUAAUACGUAGGUGGCAAGCGUUGUCCGGAAUUAUUGGGCGUAAAGGGCUCGCAGGCGGUUUCUUAAGUCUGAUGUGAAAGCCCCCGGCUCAACCGGGGAGGGUCAUUGGAAACUGGGAAACUUGAGUGCAGAAGAGGAGAGUGGAAUUCCACGUGUAGCGGUGAAAUGCGUAGAGAUGUGGAGGAACACCAGUGGCGAAGGCGACUCUCUGGUCUGUAACUGACGCUGAGGAGCGAAAGCGUGGGGAGCGAACAGGAUUAGAUACCCUGGUAGUCCACGCCGUAAACGAUGAGUGCUAAGUGUUAGGGGGUUUCCGCCCCUUAGUGCUGCAGCUAACGCAUUAAGCACUCCGCCUGGGGAGUACGGUCGCAAGACUGAAACUCAAAGGAAUUGACGGGGCCCGCACAAGCGGUGGGAGCAUGUGGUUUAAUUC